Non-coding RNA from Armillaria novae-zelandiae, 102 nucleotides. Lineage: Eukaryota; Fungi; Basidiomycota; Agaricomycetes; Agaricales; Physalacriaceae. The record is from the annotation of a GenBank genome assembly.
GGCUCAGUGGUCUAGUAGUAUGAUUCGCGCUUCGGGAUGGUUAAUCCAGUGCUUAAUUAAGCAUUCUGUGCGAGGUCUCGGGUUCAAUUCCCGACUGAGCCC